This 491-nucleotide ribosomal RNA is filed under the name uncultured bacterium. RNAcentral describes it as "partial 16S ribosomal RNA". It matches the Rfam family "Bacterial small subunit ribosomal RNA", at positions 29 to 506 of the family's 1533-position model. The record is from RNAcentral.
AGUGAACGCUGGCGGUAGGCCUAACACAUGCAAGUCGAACGGCAGCACAGUAAGAGCUUGCUCUUACGGGUGGCGAGUGGCGGACGGGUGAGGAAUACAUCGGAAUCUACUUUUUCGUGGGGGAUAACGUAGGGAAACUUACGCUAAUACCGCAUACGACCUACGGGUGAAAGCAGGGGAUCUUCGGACCUUGCGCGAUUGAAUGAGCCGAUGUCGGAUUAGCUAGUUGGCGGGGUAAAGGCCCACCAAGGCGACGAUCCGUAGCUGGUCUGAGAGGAUGACCAGCCACACUGGAACGGAGACCCGGUCCAGACCCCUACGGGAGGCAGCAGUGGGGAAUAUUGGACAAUGGGCGCAAGCCUGAUCCAGCCAUACCGCGUGGGUGAAGAAGGCCUUCGGGUUGUAAAGCCCUUUUGUUGGGAAAGAAAAGCAGCAGGUUAAUACCCCGCUGUUCUGACGGUACCCAAAGAAUAAGCACCGGCUAACUUCGU